AUAACUCUCUUACUAUGAACUAUGGAGGUUUUUUCGUAAAUGAUACAAAUAAACAAAAAAAGAUUUGAAGACAUAGAGGAGAAUUGUGGAAGUCCGCUUGGCCCAAUGAUUGACUAAAGGUUCAUUAAUGCUUCUACAUCAAGAGGUUUGGGGUUCGAGUCCCACCUACUACGAUUUAUUAGCAUAUUUGUAGAUUAAUGGAGACAAGUGUGCUAAUGGAGACAAGUGUGCAGGAAAUCUCCAACGAUAUACAAUUAUAGCCGUUCCUCAGGAUUCUACGCAGUGAAGAUAUUGAAGGUGUCCAUCAAGAGUAUGGAGAAAGAGAAGGAGGUGUCGUCUGUCGUGGAUAUAAUAAGAUCAGAAGGAAUUGUUCGUGGUAGAAUCGUCUAUAUCACAGUUUCAUGAUUUGCGAUUAAUAAUAAAUCUAGACAGCAAAAAUAAAAGACAUAGAGGAGAAUGCAUUUGGUUGAGUAAUUGUUGGCGU
Molecule: small RNA, 484 nt
Filed under: Arabidopsis thaliana (thale cress)
Lineage: Eukaryota; Viridiplantae; Streptophyta; Magnoliopsida; Brassicales; Brassicaceae
Description: ATSL261010
Source: RNAcentral